This is a non-coding RNA of Dama dama (fallow deer), 1021 nucleotides long. The record is from the annotation of a RefSeq genome assembly. Lineage: Eukaryota; Metazoa; Chordata; Mammalia; Artiodactyla; Cervidae.
CCCAGCUCUGGAAGUGGUGGUGAGUGUGUCGACUGCCAGCCUGGCAAGCCCAGUCUCUGGUGGAGUAGACAGUCUUCCCCAGAUGUUCAUUUCUUGAUAUAUUUUAGUGCUCACAAAGAUCAUGCAAGAUGGUGCAAACCCAUGAGACCCUGGACCUUUGGCCACUUGGAGGCACUGUGUUUCCAAGGAGCCCCGCCCCCUGCCAGCAGCAGUCUUGGGUUCCUGAUGCUGCCAUGGGCUCCAGGCUCCUCUGCUGUGUGACUCUCUGCCUCCUGGGAGCAGGCCUGGUGGAUUCUGAAGUCACCCAGACACCCAAGUACCGGAUCAAAUCAGGAAACAGCAAGUGACUCUGAGACGUUCCCCUGAAUCUGGACACCUCUCUGUGUACUGGUACCAACAGGCCCUGGGCCAGGGCCCCCAGUUCCUCAUUCAAUAUUACAACAGGGAAGUUAGUGAGAAAGGAAACAUAUCAGAUCGAUUCUCAGGAAAACAGUUCAGUGAUCUUUGCGCAGAGCUGAACCUGAGCUCCUUGGAGCUGACGGACUCCACCCUGUAUCUCUGUGCCAGCAGCCAAGGCACAGCCCUGCGUCAUCAGGUGUCUCUGGGACAAAAACACCCCUGCCCCAGCUCUGGAAGUGUUGCCCCGUGUGUCAGCUGCCAGCCUGCCAAGCCCAGUCUCUGGUAGAGCGAUAGACUUUCCCAGACAUUCAUUUCUUUACAUGCUUUAAUGCUCACUAAGAUCAUCAACAUAAGUAUAAUUUUAACUGUUUGUACAUCUGAGGGGACGGGAAUUGCCCAGAUCUCACACUUUAUAACUUACACCUAGGCUUCCGCUCAGGUUUGUUCUCAGCACCUGUGGUUCCUUUCCUCAUGGAAAUAGCUCCAUACAGAGCAAAGUCCAUACCCAUGCUGGGCUAUGUGUAACAGAGACAGUGUGGGGCUGUAAGAUAUGAACUGUUACUCAGUGAAUGGCAGCUGUGCAUCGCAAGGAGGUAUUCCCAUGGAAAGAACCUCUCAAUAA